UUUGAUUUAACAUAUAAAAUGUAGUUAAUUGUUAAUUAACUUAAACGGAAAGAAUAGACCGUAAUUAAAA
Molecule: non-coding RNA, 70 nt
Organism: Ciona intestinalis (vase tunicate)
Lineage: Eukaryota; Metazoa; Chordata; Ascidiacea; Phlebobranchia; Cionidae
Source: the annotation of a RefSeq genome assembly